This is a long non-coding RNA of Columba livia (rock pigeon), 1054 nucleotides long. RefSeq lists it as uncharacterized. NCBI's taxonomy places the organism in Eukaryota, Metazoa, Chordata, Aves, Columbiformes, Columbidae. The transcript has 3 exons. The record is from RefSeq and is a predicted model, not a curated record.
GCCACUUGCCACAUGGGCCACAGUGUUUGGUAGGAAGCUGCACUCAGGUUGUGCUCAUGCUGUCUGCCAGGACAUUGUGAAGACACAGAGCAGGAUUUGGGAACGCUUCAUGUUUUUUCCAGGUUCAGAUAAAACCAGGCAUAGCCAACAAGACUCAAGGCUAAGAAGACAAACAUCACUUUUGCUUUCUGGACCUACCUCUUCUCCAUCUUCACUAACAAAAACCUUCUGGCUUUAUUCUGUGUUACUAUAACUAAAAUAAUAUUCCCUGCUGUAUGCACAGUUUUCAAACAAAUGACUGUUUCCUAGGUCAACCCUGAUCCUGAGGAAGAUUUUGAUGAAGGUAGCAGAUGCUCUGACCACAGUGUCCAAUAUCUACAUCUCAGAAAGACGGAUGCUGCUCCACACUAAAUCCAUUUCAAGUCAAGACUAAGACCACAUUCCGGAGAAGUAUUUGCCUGUUGCAAUACACAGUGUGAUCAGUAUCUUUCUGUGCUAUCUCAAGAAACACGGCAAUAUGUAUUAAAAGACCAAAAACUGUUCACACUGCACUUGAUAUGUUCAGAUAACCUACCAAUGGUGAGGUAUAAAAAUGAAAGAUAAGUACAAUUUUACCAAGAAGGUGAGAUUUAUUGUAAGGCACACUUAGAGGGACUUUUAUCUGUAGUAGAUUGCUCUCCCUACUCUAAAUAGUUUCAUGAAGUGAAAAAAGAAAAGGUGGAAAGACUAUUAUCUCUGUCUUAAUGGUGAAGUAAAGUUUACUGUCUGUGAUUCCUACAAAUAUUUCCAGUUAAUGCAAUCAAUGAUACAGAGGCUGAGAGAUAUAUUUGAUUCUGGGAAUGAAAGAGUGAAAUAUAUAAUUAGCUGCCUCAGAUAACAGUUUCAGCAGAUGGGUGGGAGAGCAAUGCUUCUAAUGGGCCUUUUUUGACCCAGGGGAGGUUUGCAAUCACUUUUGCUGACUGGAUGCAGUAUUGAGGACACCUGGGAGAUGAGUCUCUCAUAAAUGGGUUUAUGCAAUUUGUCAAACAAGCACAUUUGUGAACAGCACUUUUGU